AGGUGUGUGGCAAUCUGACUGUGACAUUGCUCAUCAGGGUUCAUUUAGUGGAUUUGGCUGGCUAGGUGGGUGCUCCAUUCCUUCUUCAUUGCUCUAUGUGAGUCCAUCCCUAAGCUCUUGGCUUGGUGUGACACAGAGGAUGGCUUUCUUCAACAGAAGAGGACUGUUGAUUAGGGGCAUCUGAGCAUCUACACUCUUUUGGUAGGACCUCCAAAAAAGCUGGCAAGACUAGAGUCCCCUGCUGUGCAUAUCAGAAUCCAUGAAUGAUAUAAGAGUAAGAUCCAUUUUUACUU
This 293-nucleotide small nuclear RNA is filed under the name Jaculus jaculus (lesser Egyptian jerboa). RNAcentral's name for it is "7SK RNA (ENSJJAG00000006498.1)". It matches the Rfam family "7SK RNA". Rfam says of the family: 7SK was discovered as an abundant small nuclear RNA in the mid-70s but a possible function has only recently been suggested. Two independent studies have found that 7SK RNA binds the CDK9/cyclin T complex (known as elongation factor P-TEFb). P-TEFb activates transcription by phosphorylating the C-terminal domain of RNA polymerase II. The record is from Rfam by way of RNAcentral. Lineage: Eukaryota; Metazoa; Chordata; Mammalia; Rodentia; Dipodidae.